Molecule: long non-coding RNA, 1506 nt
Filed under: Cricetulus griseus (Chinese hamster)
Lineage: Eukaryota; Metazoa; Chordata; Mammalia; Rodentia; Cricetidae
Description: lncRNA (ENSCGRG00015039759.1)
Source: RNAcentral
GUCAAAUCAGGCUGACCAGGCACCAAGCUUUUAGGGAGGCAGUGGGUAAGCGCCUGGCAUCUGGACAGACAGGCAUUCCACUGCUGACAGCUCACAUCUCAGCAGCGCUCACACUCACACCGGCCACCGUGAACAGCUUCUUGGUCCUUACCAUCUCGGUAGCUUAGAUGGGAAUAAGGACGGGUGGUGCCCAGCUAUGCACACCAACGCCUGAGGAUUAAAUGUAAUUUGGGACUGCGCAAGCACUUAGAGCUGUGCUGGGAUCAAGAAAGUGUUAAUUAUUGUCUGGGGUUCGAGGGCCUGUGAGAAUGAAAACUGAUGACAACGUGACUGAUUUUUGCGCAUACAUGAAAAAACUUGUCAAAGGCUUUCAGAGCCUCGUGACCCUCUGCUUCCCAUUCUGGUCCUAGAGAUGCGGAGCUCAGAGCCACUGUUUUCCUGUGUGGCUCUUGACUGUUUCUAAGCCUCUCUGAGCCUCAGUUUCCUAAUGUGGAAAAUGGGAUCAUCUUAUGGGAUCAUGGUGAAAAUUGAGAAGACAUUGCUGGAGGCUUAGGAGCAGACUGGGACCUGGUUCCCAAUUCAGAACCUCCAGCACUCCUCUUAUGAGUCAAGACACUUAAACUCUCCAGCCUGAAACAAGAUAGGCUUCUGGCUGCCCUCGUGACCCUAGCCCAGGCCUAACUGCCAAGAACAGCACUGGGGAUCCAGCCUAAGGAGAAACAGGUAGAAUUCUGAACCUGGCACUCCAGACAAGCUUCCAGUGUCUAAAGAGAAGAAAGAAUCUAUCCGUGAAUUCCUCCAGGUAUGGUUUAUUAUUUAAUUGCACUUAAGAUGUUUCCUACUAUGCUCACACAUAAGUCUUAAUGAGUUAUUGAUAUUCUGAUUCUUAAGAUCAAAAUUGUUUUAAAUGGAGAAAGGGAAACUGUAAAAACCGGUGGGUUUAGAGAAUCGAAGUCUGGCUGAAGCUAACCGAUGGUCACGAUGGGGAAAGCAGGAAAUGACCUCUGACUUUGUUCUUGCAGGUUCCUGAGGAGUGGAGGGGGGUAGGGAAGGCCAGAAGCCGCAGAAUGAUGAUAACUGUCAUAUCCCAUGCCUACUAACUCAGCACUCCCUCCCCUCAGCCUGACUGCCCUGCUGUAGACAGAUACAUGAGCUUCCAUAUUAGAAGAGCUAACGGAAUGGGUAGAGGAUUGUGGUUUCUUCCUCUAUGUCCCCAAGGCCCUACUUGACACAUCAUGUGCAGUCAAUAAACAUUGAAUGAAUAAGUGAUUGUGGUAGGAAAAUAAUGUGGCAUGGAAGAUGUCCAAUUUCUGAGCUCCACAAUUUCCUUGCAAACUUGGAAAUGGCUCCAUGAGCCACUAGAGUCCGGGCCACGUGUUACAAGGCGACAGACACAGAGUGGGCAUGCCUGCUCAGCUCCAGCUGGCCUAGGUGGCACAGGGCCUGACAGACUCCAUCCCACUCAUCUUGUACCCAUGGUGACCAGGCCAGUUCUUUUAGCUGGCU